Molecule: ribosomal RNA, 147 nt
Filed under: uncultured bacterium
Lineage: Bacteria
Description: partial 16S ribosomal RNA
Rfam family: Bacterial small subunit ribosomal RNA
Source: RNAcentral
UACGGGAGGCAGCAGUGGGGAAUAUUGGACAAUGGGCGCAAGCCUGAUCCAGCCAUGCCGCGUGAGUGAUGAAGGCCUUAGGGUUGUAAAGCUCUUUCGGCGGGGAAGAUAAUGACGGUACCUGCAGAAGAAGCCCCGGCUAACUUC